AACGAACGCUGGCGGCAUGCCUAACACAUGCAAGUCGAACGAGACCUUCGGGUCUAGUGGCGCACGGGUGCGUAACGCGUGGGAACCUGCCCUUAGGUUCGGAAUAACUCCCCGAAAGGGGUGCUAAUACCGGAUAAUGUCUUCGGACCAAAGAUUUAUCGCCUUUGGAUGGGCCCGCGUUGGAUUAGCUAGUUGGUAGGGUAAAAGCCUACCAAGGCGACGAUCCAUAACUGGUCUGAGAGGAUGAUCAGCCACACUGGGACUGAGACACGGCCCAGACUCCUACGGGAGGCAGCAGUGGGGAAUAUUGGACAAUGGGCGAAAGCUUGAUCCAGCAAUGCCGCGUGAGUGAUGAAGGCCUUAGGGUUGUAAAGCUCUUUUACCCGGGAUGAUAAUGACAGUACCGGGAGAAUAAGCUCCGGCUAACUCCGUG
This 433-nucleotide ribosomal RNA is filed under the name uncultured bacterium. Its description in RNAcentral is "partial 16S ribosomal RNA". It matches the Rfam family "Bacterial small subunit ribosomal RNA", at positions 29 to 507 of the family's 1533-position model. The record is from RNAcentral.